CUGAACCAGCCAAGUAGCGUGAAGGCACAAGGCUCGACGGGUCGUAAACUUCUUUUAUAUAAGAAUAAAGUGCAGUAUGUAUACUGUUUUGUAUGUAUUAUAUGAAUAAGGAUCGAAUAACUCCGUGCCAGCAGCCGCGGUAAUAUUAAGGAUCCGAGCGUUAUCCGGAUUUAUUGGGUUUAAAGGGAGCGUAGGUGGACUGGUAAGUCAGUUGUGAAAGUUUGCGG
RNAcentral lists this ribosomal RNA (227 nucleotides) under uncultured bacterium. RNAcentral's name for it is "partial 16S ribosomal RNA". It matches the Rfam family "Bacterial small subunit ribosomal RNA", at positions 383 to 607 of the family's 1533-position model. The record is from RNAcentral. RNAcentral also lists the same sequence under 1 other name.